This 253-nucleotide ribosomal RNA is filed under the name uncultured bacterium. RNAcentral's name for it is "partial 16S ribosomal RNA". It matches the Rfam family "Bacterial small subunit ribosomal RNA", at positions 524 to 776 of the family's 1533-position model. The record is from RNAcentral.
UACGAAGGGUGCAAGCGUUACUCGGAAUUACUGGGCGUAAAGCGUGCGUAGGUGGUUGUUUAAGUCUGUUGUGAAAGCCCUGGGCUCAACCUGGGAACUGUAGUGGAAACUGGACAACUAGAGUGUGGUAGAGGGUAGCGGAAUUCCCGGUGUAGCAGUGAAAUGCGUAGAGAUCGGGAGGAACAUCCAUGGCGAAGGCAGCUACCUGGACCAACACUGACACUGAGGCACGAAAGCGUGGGGAGCAAACAGG